AGAGUUUGAUCCUGGCUCAGGACGAACGCUGGCGGCGUGCCUAACACAUGCAAGUCGAGGGGAAAAUCACUUUCGGGUGAUGAGUAUACUGGCGGACGGGUGAGUAACGCGUAGGUGACCUAUCCUUAUGUUUGGGAUAACCUUGCGAAAGCGGGGCUAAUACCGGAUGUGGUUCUCAUGGUGCCUGCCAUGGGGAUUAAAGUUGUCUGGGGUGACCCGGGUAACGCAUAAGGAUGGGCCUGCGUUCCAUUAGCUAGUUGGUGAGGUAAGGGCUCACCAAGGCGACGAUGGAUAGCUGGUCUGAGAGGACGAUCAGCCACACUGGGACUGAGACACGGCCCAGACUCCUACGGGAGGCAGCAGUGGGGAAUAUUGGACAAUGGGGGCAACCCUGAUCCAGCAAUGCCGCGUGUGUGAAGAAGGUCUUCGGAUUGUAAAGCACUUUUUGAGGGGAUGAGGAAGGACAGUACCCUCAGAAUAAGCCUCGGCUAACUACGUGCCAGCAGCCGCGGUAACACGUAGGAGGCGAGCGUUAUCCGGAUUUACCGGGCGUAAAGCGCGUGCAGGCGGUUUGGAAAGUUGGAUGUGAAAGCUCCUGGCUUAACUGGGAGAGGUCGUUCAAUACUUCUAGACUAGAGUAUGGGAGAGGGAGGUGGAAUUCCGGGUGUAGUGGUGAAAUGCGUAGAUAUCCGGAGGAACACCAGUGGCGAAAGCGGCCUCCUGGCUCAUUACUGACGCUCAGACGCGAAAGCUAGGGUAGCAAACGGGACUAGAGACCCCGGUAGUCCUAGGUAGUAAAGGAUGUGAACUUGGCGUUGGUGGGUUCUAAUCCAUCAGUGCCGGAGAUAAACGCGUUAAGUUCACCGCCUGGGGACUACGACCGCAAGGUUAAAACUCAAAGGGAUUGACGGGGGCCCGCACAAGCAGCGGAGCGUGUGGUUUAAUUCGAUGAUACACGAAGAACCUUACCAGGGUUUGACAUGCAAGUGGUAGGGAUCCGAAAGGUGACCGACCCUUCGGGGAGCUUGCACAGGUGCUGCAUGGCUGUCGUCAGCUCGUGUCGUGAGAUGUUCGGUUAAGUCCGCUAACGAGCGCAACCCUCGCCGUGUGUUAUAUGUGUCACGCGGGACCGCCGGUCUUAAGCCGGAGGAAGGUGGGGAUGACGUCAAGUCAGCAUGGCCUUUAUGUCCUGGGCUACACACACGCUACAAUGGCCAGUACAAUAGGUAGCGAAGUCGCGAGGCGGAGCCAAUCCCCAGAGCUGGCCUCAGUUCAGAUCGCAGGCUGCAACUCGCCUACGUGAAGAUGGAGUUGCUAGUAACCGCAGGUCAGUCAUACUGCGGUGAAUACGUUCCCGGGCCUUGCACUCACCGCCCGUCA
This 1380-nucleotide ribosomal RNA is filed under the name uncultured bacterium. Its description in RNAcentral is "16S ribosomal RNA". It matches the Rfam family "Bacterial small subunit ribosomal RNA". The record is from RNAcentral.